Jaculus jaculus (lesser Egyptian jerboa) is the source of this 107-nucleotide small nuclear RNA. Lineage: Eukaryota; Metazoa; Chordata; Mammalia; Rodentia; Dipodidae. The record is from Ensembl.
GAGCUCGUUUUGGCAGCACAUAUACUAAAAUUGGAAUGAAACAGAGAAUAUUGGCAUGGCCCCUGCACAAGGAUGACACGCAAAUUUGUGAAGCAUUCCAAAACCUC